RNAcentral lists this long non-coding RNA (869 nucleotides) under Equus caballus (horse). RNAcentral describes it as "lncRNA (ENSECAG00000056245.1)". The record is from RNAcentral. Lineage: Eukaryota; Metazoa; Chordata; Mammalia; Perissodactyla; Equidae.
GGACUGCUCAGUUCCCCGCGGGUCACAGAGAGGAGGGGCUGGAGGUCUCGGGGUUCCUCCCCAGACUUGCCCAGACUUAGCUGGCAGUUACGCAACGGGAGAGCGGGACCCGGGCGUGGUCCGUCUACGCCUGGACGCUUCUCCCUAAGAAUCUCGAGAAUUGGACACCUUUUCUGCAGUCUACCCCAGCGUCGCUAGGAGAAGAAUUUACCAACUCAAAUCUGGCCCAAGCGUGGACCGUCUAGAUAAGGAAGCGGAUCACAAAAACAAAUUGGUCUCUAAACUCAUCACUUCUUAUCAGGAAAUGUGUAAAAUGAGAAAAAGAAAGAGAGGAUGGAGGCCAGAGCAGAAGCCAGUGGAGCCUGAGAAGGAGCUGCAGUGGAGCAGAAGCCUCAGGUUGAGAUGAUGACAUUACAAGAUGAAAAUAGCAUGGAUCACUGGAAGCAAGCUGCCUGGGGGAGCCACUUGACCUGCAGUGGACGUUGCAUGAGAAAGAAAUGUACUUUUAAGUGAUCGGCCACUGACGUUCAGAUGAAGAGGAUAAAUGGGUCCAGAAAUAGGAAUUGUAUGAUGCUGGUGUACGAUCUAUUGAUGCUGGACGUGGAGGAGAACCAAGAGUCAAGACAUGGAUUGAAAACGAAAAGCUGAAAAAGCUCACAAGAAGACAACAGGGGCCAGCUCCAAGGCUCAGUGUGUCUAGAGAAGAGGUCUUCUGCUCCUACAACAGAAUCUCCAAUGGCAAUCAACUGAGCGACAAAUCUUUCCCCUUCGCCUUGUAGGAUAAAGCCGAGCCCAGUGAAAGGAAAAUGAAAGUACAGCAAAGAGCCCAUACCCGAGCAUUCUAAAAUGGCAGAAUCACAUGACGGAAG